GACAGAGGGUGCAAACGUUGUUCGGAAUUACUGGGCGUAAAGCGCGUGUAGGCGGUUCGUAAAGUCGGAUGUGAAAGCCCUGGGCUUAACCCAGGAAGUGCAUUCGAAACUCACGAACUUGAGUCCCGGAGAGGAAGGCGGAAUUCUCGGUGUAGAGGUGAAAUUCGUAGAUAUCGAGAGGAACAUCUGUGGCGAAGGCGGCCUUCUGGACGGUGACUGACGCUGAGACGCGAAAAGCGUGGGGGAGCAAACAGG
This 255-nucleotide ribosomal RNA is filed under the name uncultured bacterium. RNAcentral's name for it is "partial 16S ribosomal RNA". It matches the Rfam family "Bacterial small subunit ribosomal RNA", at positions 524 to 776 of the family's 1533-position model. The record is from RNAcentral.